ACUCCUACGGGAGGCAGCAGUGGGGAAUUUUGGACAAUGGGCGAAAGCCUGAUCCAGCAAUGCCGCGUGAGUGAAGAAGGCCUUCGGGUUGUAAAGCUCUUUUGUCAGGGAAGAAACGGUGAGAGCUAAUAUCUUUUGCUAAUGACGGUACCUGAAGAAUAAGCACCGGCUAACUACGUGCCAGCAGCCGCGGUAAUACGUAGGGUGCAAGCGUUAAUCGGAAUUACUGGGCGUAAAGCGUGCGCAGGCGGUUUUGUAAGUCUGAUGUGAAAUCCCCGGGCUCAACCUGGGAAUUGCAUUGGAGACUGCAAGGCUAGAAUCUGGCAGAGGGGGGUAGAAUUCCACGUGUAGCAGUGAAAUGCGUAGAUAUGUGGAGGAACACCGAUGGCGAAGGCAGCCCCCUGGGUCAAGAUUGACGCUCAUGCACGAAAGCGUGGGGAGCAAACAGGAUUAGAUACCCCGGUAGUCCCA
Molecule: ribosomal RNA, 471 nt
Filed under: uncultured organism
Description: partial 16S ribosomal RNA
Rfam family: Bacterial small subunit ribosomal RNA
Source: RNAcentral